GACGAACGCUGGCGGCGUGCUUAAGACAUGCAAGUCGUACGAGAAAGCCUCUUCGGAGGUUAGUAAAGUGGCGCACGGGUGAGUAACGCGUGGGUAAUCUGCCCUUAGGUUUGGGAUAACCCCGGGAAACCGGAGCUAAUACCGAAUAAGACCACGAUGACUUCGGUCGAUGUGGGAAAACAUGGCCUCUUCCUGAAAGCUAUGGCCAAUGGAUGAGCCCGCGUUUGAUUAGUUUGUUGGUGAGGUAACGGCUCACCAAGACUACGAUCAAUAGCUGGUCUGAGAGGACGAUCAGCCACACUGGAACUGAGACACGGUCCAG
RNAcentral lists this ribosomal RNA (322 nucleotides) under uncultured bacterium. RNAcentral's name for it is "bacterial SSU rRNA". It matches the Rfam family "Bacterial small subunit ribosomal RNA", at positions 28 to 334 of the family's 1533-position model. The record is from RNAcentral.